Carya illinoinensis is the source of this 3538-nucleotide RNA transcript. It is a transcript of the gene named tRNA-specific adenosine deaminase TAD1-like, with no coding region annotated. The record is from RefSeq and is a predicted model, not a curated record. The transcript has 11 exons. NCBI's taxonomy places the organism in Eukaryota, Viridiplantae, Streptophyta, Magnoliopsida, Fagales, Juglandaceae.
CGGGUAGUUUCUUUUAUAAAUUUCAUCUAUCGUCCAUCAUCCCUUCCAUCACAAGAAAACCCACUGAUCAAGCUAUUUACAGAGCUCGUCCUCCGCUUCUUGUCGGUGUGAAAAAUCUCCACUGGUCUUCGUGCUCACAGAUCAAGCUUCGUGGCGUCGUCUACUUCUCCAGCUCAUGGUCUUUGUUCUCACAGAAGCUUUGUGGUUUGGUCUUCUUCUCCAUUUUUACUUCGCACCGAGGUCUUCAAGUGGAUCUCUGCGGGUAUUUUCGUGGUUCACGAACUCCAUGUGGGUCAUCUUGCAAGAGGCCGUAAGCAGCCGCUGAGCUGGUUUUCUUCUUCAUGUGAGUAUUUUUGUGGGUAUUUUCUACUGGUUCAUCUUUGUGGGGGUGUGGCUCAUCUUCGCAUAAGAAAAACUCUGAAGGAUUGCUGAAGAAGGAUUGUACGUAGAAGGAUUGCUGAAGAAAAACCAGUAUUUUCUACUGGUUCAUCUUCGCGCGGUUCAUCUUCAUGGUGAGGACUUACGAACAUAGUGAAAAUGGUUAUAAGCUUCGUAGUCUUCAGAAAUGACGAAAGGUUAACUUAGUUAAAACGGGGCGUAGUAAUUUUUGACACAUCAGCAGAGCCGUGUGUGCGCCGUUUGCGUUAGGCGACUGCAUUUAGAGUUUUUCAUCCUGCAGCAGUGUACUCCACAAUAUAACUUCGGCCCACUGACGUCGUCGCUGUCGGGAGUGAACAUGGCAGGGGCGAGUUGGGGAGAGAGAGUCGCAGACAAGGUGUUCUCUCUCUAUAACUCUCUCCCAAAGAAAGGAAAGCCUCAGGGCCGUGAAGUUACCGUCUUGGCCGCUUUUCUCCUCUCUUCUCCUUCUCAAGAGCCGGAAGUUGUAGCAUUGGGAACUGGGACCAAGUGCAUCGGGCGCUCGCUCCUGAGCCCGUACGGAGACGUUGUUAAUGACUCGCACGCUGAGAUUAUCGCACGAAGAGCUUUACUGAGGUUUUUCUAUGCACAGAUUCAAUGUCUUGCUCAUUUUCAUAGGAAGCAGAAUUACAUUGAUGGAAGCAACAAGUUGCAAGGUUUUGAUAUCAACGACUUGCCUUUUCAAUUAGACCCUGAUAGUCUUGGCCAAGUAAAGUACACAUUGAAGCCGGGUUGGCAAUUACAUCUUUACAUAUCACAACCACCAUGUGGGUUUGCUUCGCGCAGUUGUCUGUUGUUUCCUCCCAAAUGUAACACAUCAAGAGAAAGGGAUUCACAACCAUAUAUGGGGGACCUCAACAAUUCCAUAAGCGAACCUUGGGAGGUUUCGGUAAAGAAUAAUGGUGUUGCUUCACAACACUUUGGUUCAGUUCAGAGGAAGCCUGGUCGGGGUGAUACAACGUCAUCAGUUAGCUGCUCUGACAAGAUAGCCCGUUGGAAUGUUGUGGGAGUUCAAGGAGCGCUGCUUUCCUACUUUCUUCUGCCUGUUUACCUUUCCUCUGUUACUGUUGGAGGAUCCCCAAACAGUCCUAAAGAGUUUCAAUCAGAGGAUUGCUUGAGAAUAGCUUUAUAUGAUCGAAUCCAACCAUUGUUGAAGGAGAUAAUAAGCCCCUUUCAGGUGAACCAGCCACUAUUCUGGUCAGCCCCAAUACCACCAAAGGAGUUUCAGCAUUCUGAGACAGCAUUGAGUACCUUAACAUGCGGGUAUUCAAUAUGUUGGAAUAAGUCUGGCUUGCAUGAAGUCAUUCUUGGAACCACUGGAAGAAAGCAAGGCACCUCUGCCAAAGGAGCACUUUCUCCAUCUACAGAGUCAUUUCUAUGCAAAAAGCAAUUAUUGGAGAUUUUCUUGUCACUAGAACAUGAAUGGCAAACUGAAUACCCAGCCAACGAGAUAUCUUAUCGAGCACUCAAGGUAGCAUUUAAUUUUCUGAAUGUUACAAAUGUUAUUGAUUGGAUUUUAUGUUGUCCAGAAAUCAUGGUUGCUAUACGACUUCUUAAGAAAAAAUUUUUGGUUUCAGUUCUCCUGGAAAACUUGUGCAUUUGAAUCAUAUGAAUGUUGACCAUGCCCUAGCUUCAUCUAUUUGGUUUACUGUUUGAGGCAGCAUCUUCUGGUCAUACUCUUAGAGAUUGAAUUUUUAGCUUAAUAAAAUUCAUAGUGGACUUUUGGUGACCUUGCUAGUGGAGUAGGAUGACCCGAUACAAUAGUCGGUACUAGUACUAAGAGAUUUAUCAAUUGGGGAUAUGCGGAGACAGCAGUUGAUUUUCAAUUUUCACCUGAAACCAGUGUGAGUUUGUUUCAGUAAGUUUUCUUACCCUUUUAUCUCUCAUUGGGCAUAUCUUUAUUGUAAGAGUUAGACAUCAUUGUGGUAAAUUACUCGAUUUUUGGCAGACGGUGAAUGCUGAGAACACUAAUCAUAAAAUAUUCAUGAAUUAAUUAGCUGAUUACAAAGAAAGAUGUUUAUUGUUUAGCUUGCAAAGAAACUAUCAUUAAUGAAAAUCAAAUGGCAAAAUGUACAAGUAUGAGAGGAAGGGAGGCAAAAGCUGCAAGCAUGUGAUCAGUUUCAUAAUUUUCUGGCAACCCCUUUUGAAGAAUCCUUGAACUGGACUUCAGAUUUGGGAUGUACAAUCAAGCACUUGUAUUUAGUGAUUUGACCCACAAAAAUUAAACAAGGUGCAGGUGGUUUAGCAGUUGUAUUCAUCAGCUAUAUCUGAUGAAAAGGUGAAAAUUGGAUUUCAGUGAGCUGGUAAAAAUGGCUGAAUAUUUGUUAUCUUCUUUUAAUGGGCUUGACAUAGUAAUUCCUUUGCAGCAAAGGGCUCAAGAAUACAUGACAAUGUCAAAACUUUUUAAAGGAAGUCCACCUUUCAGCAAUUGGCUAUUAAAACCAGUUGACACUGAGGCCUACUCCAUUUUCAGAUAGUGAGGCAUAUUACCCAUUCUUCAUCCAAAGUGAAAGACGGUAAAUAGAUGAACAGCAAGUGCAUGACGAGCUUUCAUGGAGGAAAGUCAAUAUUUAAUGAAACAGCAGUUUUGGGCCACUUAGAGAAUGGAAGCAACGUCUUAAGUGCCUUUAAAGUCAUGAUCAAUCGAGAGAACAGCCAUUGCUUAUGCUGUCACUGCAGCUCUUAUGGUUCAUUGAUUAGUAUGAAUGGGGUGAACGUUCCUCCAUUGUAGCUGAGCUGUGCCAUCAACCCAUGUUGUUGGCACGCCUAGAGUUGGGAAAAGUAUUGGGAACUUUUGAUUGCUCAGCCAAAUGUAAUCAUUUUGAUCUUUUAUUAAUUAGUUUGUCAAUAGAAAUGCCCCAAGUUUAGAGAUGGUUACAAAUCAUAAGGUUCGUUUGUUAAUAGUGCUACUAUAAAUCCAAUUCUUAAUUUUCAGAUAUAAUCUGAUCUUGGCACAUUCUGGAUAUCAAUAGGGCAAGUGAAAAAUAUGGCUGCUCCUUGACAGAAGCCAUUGUUGGUUACUAGCUUGUGUUGUAAUAAACUAUUUGUAUCAACUGCACGAUGGAUUUUACAUAAUUAGUUCGUUAUAUUAUGCAAUACACAUGCUACACUUUAUACAAAA